Molecule: unclassified non-coding RNA, 310 nt
Filed under: plant metagenome
Description: partial contains 5.8S ribosomal RNA, internal transcribed spacer 2, and large subunit ribosomal RNA
Rfam family: 5.8S ribosomal RNA (bases 1-105)
Source: RNAcentral
GAAAUGCGAUAAGUAGUGUGAAUUGCAGAAUUCAGUGAAUCAUCGAAUCUUUGAACGCACAUUGCGCCCCUUGGUAUUCCAUGGGGCAUGCCUGUUCGAGCGUCAUUUGUACCCUCAAGCUCUGCUUGGUGUUGGGUGUUUGUCCCCGUCUCCGCGCGUGGACUCGCCCCAAAGUGAUUGGCAGCCGGCGUACUGGUCCCGGAGCGCAGCACAUGUCGCGCAAACGAGUGCCUUGGUACGGCGGCGUCCAUAAGCCCCUCUCUCACGCUCUUAACCUCGGAUCAGGUAGGGAUACCCGCUGAACUUAAGC